UACGAAGGGGUCUAGCGUUGUUCGGAAUUACGGGGCGUAAAGCGAACGUAGGCGGAUUGUUAAGUCAGGGGUGAAAUCCCGGGGCUCAACCCCGGAACUGCCUUUGAUACUGGCAAUCUUGAGGUCGAGAGAGGUGAGUGGAAUUCCGAGUGUAGAGGUGGAAUUCGUAGAUAUUCGGAGGAAAACCAGUGGCGAAGGCGGCUCACUGGCUCGAAACUGACGCUGAGGUGCGAAAGCGUGGGGAGCAAACAGG
This 253-nucleotide unclassified non-coding RNA is filed under the name uncultured Alphaproteobacteria bacterium. RNAcentral's name for it is "contains 16S-23S intergenic spacer region". It matches the Rfam family "Bacterial small subunit ribosomal RNA", at positions 524 to 776 of the family's 1533-position model. Lineage: Bacteria; Pseudomonadati; Pseudomonadota; Alphaproteobacteria. The record is from RNAcentral.